Pelobates cultripes (western spadefoot toad) is the source of this 203-nucleotide non-coding RNA. Lineage: Eukaryota; Metazoa; Chordata; Amphibia; Anura; Pelobatidae. The record is from the annotation of a GenBank genome assembly.
CACAUCCUUGUUUCUUUAAGGUCAUCACAUUACAGCAACUAAUGAGUCACUCCAGCACCAUGUUUCAACAAUGUUGGCAUCCAUGGCACAUUCUCAGCCUUCUCCAGCACGUUCUGGUGACAUCACUUAUGCAGAACAAUGCUGCCUUGUCUACAUUUAUGUAGCUGCAGGCGCUUGCACCAUGGACAUGGAUGGAUCUAUAG